CCUUCGAUAGCUCAGUUGGUAGAGCGGUGGACUGUAGAUCCAUAGGUCGCUGGUUUGGCUCCGGCUUGAAGGA
This 73-nucleotide transfer RNA is filed under the name Drosophila mojavensis. RNAcentral's name for it is "tRNA-Tyr (GTA) (tRNA-Tyr-GTA-4-1)". It matches the Rfam family "tRNA". Rfam says of the family: Transfer RNA (tRNA) molecules are approximately 80 nucleotides in length. Their secondary structure includes four short double-helical elements and three loops (D, anti-codon, and T loops). Further hydrogen bonds mediate the characteristic L-shaped molecular structure. tRNAs have two regions of fundamental functional importance: the anti-codon, which is responsible for specific mRNA codon recognition, and the 3' end, to which the tRNAs corresponding amino acid is attached (by aminoacyl-tRNA synthetases). tRNAs cope with the degeneracy of the genetic code in two manners: having more than one tRNA (with a specific anti-codon) for a particular amino acid; and 'wobble' base-pairing, i.e. permitting non-standard base-pairing at the 3rd anti-codon position. Lineage: Eukaryota; Metazoa; Arthropoda; Insecta; Diptera; Drosophilidae. The record is from RNAcentral.